CACUUUCAUAAUUAUGGGAACAAUUAUCAUAGGAAAAUCUAUUUUACCGACGUGACCAAGUAGCGUUUCCAUGAUUGGCCGCAAGAUGGCCGCGGAGCGCAACCGUGCACCUGUAGUAAUAGCACGUGCUAUAAGGCUAAAUCGUGAUCCAAUAGUUUCCCGCUUUUUAACGGGCAACGUAAAGGCUUGUGAAUCGUUGGGAAGGAUAGGAGAUAUUAUCGAAGCUGAAGCGGAGGAAACGAUAAGGAAUGAAUCACCCGGAUUCCAUGGAAGAAGUGUCGUAGAGUAAG
RNAcentral lists this long non-coding RNA (290 nucleotides) under Polistes fuscatus (common paper wasp). RNAcentral's name for it is "uncharacterized LOC122520273". Lineage: Eukaryota; Metazoa; Arthropoda; Insecta; Hymenoptera; Vespidae. The record is from RNAcentral.